UCCUGGUUUCCCAGGCAGUCCGACUAGAGUGCGUCCGAAGACUAGCAACUAAUCGCAAGGGUUGCGCUCGUUAAAGGACUUAACCUAACAUCUCACGACACGAGCUGACGACAGCCAUGCAGCACCUGUACCACUGUCUUGGUAAACCAAGAACGAUCUAUCUCUAGACCUGUCAGUGCUAUGUCAAACCCAGGUAAGGUUUCUCGCGUAGCGUCGAAUUAAACCACAUGUUCCACCGCUUGUGCGGACCCCCGUCAAUUUCUUUGAGUUUUAGUCUUGCGACCGUACUCCCCAGGCGGAUCACUUAACGCGUUAGCUGCGAUACCGAGCUCCUUAACGGAACCCGACAUCUAGUGAUCAUCGUUUACAGCGUGGACUAC
Molecule: unclassified non-coding RNA, 380 nt
Filed under: uncultured bacterium
Lineage: Bacteria
Description: contains 16S-23S intergenic spacer region
Source: RNAcentral